Molecule: ribosomal RNA, 446 nt
Filed under: uncultured organism
Description: partial 16S ribosomal RNA
Rfam family: Bacterial small subunit ribosomal RNA
Source: RNAcentral
CACUCCUACGGGAGGCAGCAGUGGGGAAUAUUGGACAAUGGGCGCAAGCCUGAUCCAGCCAUGCCGCGUGAGUGAUGAAGGCCCUAGGGUUGUAAAGCUCUUUCACCGGAGAAGAUAAUGACGGUAUCCGGAGAAGAAGCCCCGGCUAACUUCGUGCCAGCAGCCGCGGUAAUACGAAGGGGGCUAGCGUUGUUCGGAAUUACUGGGCGUAAAGCGCACGUAAGCGGAUCGAUCAGUCAGGGGUGAAAUCCCAGGGCUCAACCCUGGAACUGCCUUUGAUACUGUCGAUCUGGAGUAUGGAAGAGGUGAGUGGAAUUCCGAGUGUAGAGGUGAAAUUCGUAGAUAUUCGGAGGAACACCAGUGGCGAAGGCGGCUCACUGGUCCAUUACUGACGCUGAGGUGCGAAAGCGUGGGGAGCAAACAGGAUUAGAUACCCGAGUAGUCCC